GGGAAAGGCUAGCCAGGAGCGCAGCCCUAUCCGCCUCUCCCUCAUAAAACAGCCUGUGUUGGGCUGAGCAGGCCCCUCACACAAAGGAGGGCAGGGCAGGCAGGGCUGCCCCCCCUUCCCCCCGCCUCGGCAGAGGGGCAGUGGGGUGGCGCCCUUCCCCGUGCAGAGCACUUCACAGCCACUUCUCUCCCGUCCCUCGUCUUCUUCCCCCUACCUUUCCUCCCAACCCGCCCCGCGGUUCUCCCCUCAGCCCCCCACCCGCUGUCCAUGUAGCCGCCCGGCCGCUGGCCCCUCCGCACUAUGCCCAUCUUACUCUUCCUGAUAGACACGUCCGCCUCCAUGAACCAGCGCACCCAUCUGGGCACGACCUAUCUGGACAUAGCCAAAGGCGCUGUAGAGACAUUCAUGAAGCUCCGAGCCCGGGACCCGGCCAGCAGGGGAGACAGGUACAUGCUGGUCACUUUCGAGGAGCCUCCCUACGCUAUCAAGGCCGGCUGGAAGGAAAACCAUGCAACGUUUAUGAAUGAACUGAAAAACCUUCAAGCUGAAGGACUUACGACUCUUGGCCAGUCCCUAAGGACAGCUUUUGAUUUAUUAAACUUAAAUAGAUUAGUAACUGGCAUAGACAACUAUGGGCAGGGACGAAACCCCUUUUUUCUGGAGCCAGCAAUAAUUAUAACAGUUACUGAUGGAAGUAAAUUAACUACUACCAGUGGGAUACAGGAAGAGCUCCAUUUGCCCCUCAAUUCCCCUCUACCUGGAAGUGAAUUGACCAAGGAACCCUUUCGAUGGGAUCAGAGGUUGUUUGCUUUGGUUCUCCGUUUGCCUGGUAUUACAGCACCAGAAUCGGAACAGAUGACAGGGGUACCGGUGGAUGACUCUGCCAUCACACCUAUGUGUGAAGUUACAGGAGGUCGAUCAUAUUGCGUGUGCUCUCCGAGAAUGCUCAAUCAGUGUCUGGAGUCAUUGGUGCAAAAAGUGCAAAGUGGAGUGGUAAUAAACUUUGAAAAAGCCGGACCAGAUCCCUCACCAAUUGAUGAUGGACAGGUGGAAAUAUCUAGACCUUUUGGACCCCAACCUUGGCACAGCUGUCACAAACUUAUUUAUGUCAGACCAAACCCUAAAACUGGGGUUCCUAUAGGUCAUUGGCCUGUUCCUGAGUCGUUUUGGCCAGAUCAAAAUUCUCCGACGCUGCCACCCCGCACAUCUCAUCCUGUGGUGAAAUUUUCCUGUACUGACUGUGAGCCCAUGGUCAUUGACAAACUGCCUUUCGACAAAUAUGAGCUGGAACCCUCACCACUGACCCAGUUUAUCCUGGAAAGAAAAUCCCCUCAGACCUGCUGGCAGGUAUAUGUGAGCAAUAGUGCAAAGUACAGUGAACUUGGUCAUCCUUUUGGUUACUUGAAAGCUAGUACAGCUCUGAAUUGUGUGAAUUUAUUUGUGAUGCCUUACAAUUAUCCAGUCCUCCUUCCACUGCUAGAUGACUUGUUUAAAGUACACAAGGCAAAGCCCACAUUGAAAUGGCGGCAGUCAUUUGAGAGCUAUUUGAAGACAAUGCCUCCGUAUUAUCUUGGGCCUUUGAAGAAAGCUGUGAGAAUGAUGGGAGCACCAAAUCUUAUAGCUGACAAUGUGGAAUAUGGACUUAGUUACAGUGUCAUUUCAUAUCUCAAAAAGUUGAGUCAGCAGGCCAAAAUAGAGUCCGAUAGAGUCAUUGGCUCUGUAGGCAAAAAGGUAGCGCAAGAGACUGGAAUUAAGGUCAGAAGCAGAUCACACAACCUGUCUAUGGCACAUAGGAACGAUUUUCAACAUCUGCUACAGGGGAUUACUGGGGAAAUUCCUCAUAGACCUCUAGACCUCAAUAUGAAGGAGUAUGCUGGGUUCCAAAUAGCUUUGCUGAAUAAGGAUCUGAAACCUCAGACUUUUAGAAAUGCUUAUGACAUACCCAGAAGAAAUCUUCUGGAUCAGUUAACACGAAUGAGAUCUAAUUUACUGAAGAGUACUCGCAAGUUCCUCAAAGGACAAGAUGAAGAUCAAGUUCACAGUGUACCUAUAGCACAAAUGGGAAACUACCAGGAAUAUCUAAAACAAAUACCUUCUCCACUUAGAGAGCUUGAUCCUGAUCAACCCCGAAGGCUUCAUACUUUCGGCAAUCCAUUCAAAUUGGACAAAAAGGGAAUGAUGAUAGAUGAAGCAGAUGAAUUUGUAUCAGGACCUCAGAAUAAACAUAAAAGACCAGGAGAACCAAGUAUGCAAGGGAUUCCAAAAAGACGACGUUGUAUGUCCCCCCUGCUCAGAGGUCGACCUCAGACUCCUCCGAUUGUGAAUAACCACAUUGGAGGAAAAGGGCCGCCCACACCAGUCACGCAAGCACAGCCUGACCAUGUUAAACCUAUUCCUCUUCACAAAAUGUCAGAAACAAAUAAUGAGGUUACAGUGGAUGAUGUGGUAGAGAAUCAUGUUACAGACCCACUUUCACCAGAUGUUUUCCCAAAUACCAUGGAUUCAGAGUUUUCCAUGCCACCGUCUCCCUUCAAUGCAUUGGAUCGACCAGCAGCUAAUACAGACAAUGCAGGCCAUGAACCUUUAGGGAGUAACUUGAAUGUUGAUGGAUUUCUGGAAAAUCAUGAGGAAUCAGGUAACAAAGAACAAAGUACUGAAGAGAACUUGCCCGUGUCUUCACCCAGCAAAAGGAAAAAAAAUGUGCAUUGCAGAAGUUCCAGAGAAGUGAAUAUAGAGCUAAGAGCACAAAUCAUGAAAGAAAUCCGAAAACCAGGAAGGAAAUAUGAAAGAAUCUUCUUUUUACUGAAGCAUGUACAAGGAAGCUUACAAACCAGACUGAUCUUUUUACAAAAUGUUAUUAAAGAAGCUUCAAGGACUUUCAGUGAGAUGUCCUGAAGAGCUUGACAUAGUCCAAGGUAAACCUGAAUUCCUGUGCCACAGUAAUGUGAAAAUAGUUAGUGUGUUUUUUCCCCACCUUCUACCAGGUAUUAAGUUUUUAGAACACCUGCUAUUAACUUGUACAACUGCUUCAGCAGGCCUUGAAAGUAUUCUGGACAGUAACAUUGCCCAGUCCUUUGCACACAGAAUAUGGACAUGGUAAAUUUUCACUAGGAUUGUGUUACAGUAAAGCACAUUAAGUAAUUUGACUUUUACUAGAGGGAAUGAGAAUGAAUAAUUUUGUUUCCCAGGUUAAUGCUUUUCAACAAGCAGGGAGCAGUUGUGAAAGCAGUGAGGAAAAGUGGAGGGGAAGCUGUACUUGAAGUGUGUGGGGGGUGUUGUGAGGUUAUUGAGGAGCACUGAGAAGUCCAUGGGUAAGGGCCUCCAGCACUGGUAUUUCACAAGAUAGCGAGUGGUUGGGAACGGGAACUGGUUUCCUCACAAUCAAAUGGAGGUCAGUGUUUGGGGAACUGGGGCAUGUGCUGUGUGAGCAAAAACAUGGACUGGGAGGCCUGGCUGGGACUCUGGGGACUCUUUCUGGGGUUUAGUAAGGUCAUAGGACUGAUCUCAGUAAGGAAUUCAGAGUAGUACUGAGUUGAGAAAGUGUCAUCUUUUCACUGCUGCUUACCUUUGAGUAUGCGUAUGGCUGCUGAAACAUCAGUCAGAAGUGGCUUCUCAGAUGCAUAAAUGUCAUAAGGAGGAGGGAUAAGUGGAAACAGCAAGAAGCUGUGUGCAUUGAGUCUAAGCAAAGGUGACAGAGCGGUCUGCUGCUCAGAUUUGCAGUUGCUAUGGAGUAGAACUGCUGAGACUCCAGGUUUAAAAAACGAAUGCUGAUAGAACAGCUUGAGAGUUUUCUGGAAGAAAUCCAUCGCAGAUCCAAUCAGGUCAACCAUAUCAACAG
This is an RNA transcript of Pogoniulus pusillus (Red-fronted tinkerbird), 3838 nucleotides long. It is a transcript of the gene named integrator complex subunit 6, with no coding region annotated. The record is from RefSeq and is a predicted model, not a curated record. Lineage: Eukaryota; Metazoa; Chordata; Aves; Piciformes; Lybiidae. The transcript has 19 exons.